Molecule: long non-coding RNA, 413 nt
Organism: Sinocyclocheilus rhinocerous
Lineage: Eukaryota; Metazoa; Chordata; Actinopteri; Cypriniformes; Cyprinidae
Exons: 4
Source: RefSeq, a predicted model, not a curated record
AGGAGGACCAGCGUCCCACCGGCGAACACACACAGCAGCACCAGCAGCAGGACAUAGUUCUCCUGAGAGCCAGACGCCAGCGAGACAUGAGGAACCACAACAGACCAUCAUGCCAUGAACUCCAUCUACAGCCUUUCUGUAGCUCAAAUCAUGGCGCUCUCAACGCAAAGGUCACGGGUUCGAUCCCCAGAGAAAAAUGAACUUGGGAAGAAACAGAUUUUCUCUCACUGAGUUUCCAAACAGAGAAAUGCCAGAAGAGACAGAAAACACUUGGUCUGCAGUUUCUCACACUGAUGUUCUGCAGGAAAACGGCAAAAACAGCGGCUUCAUUAUCAGAUGGUGAGGCGCGUCUGUAACGGAGACUCAUCACUCAUGGUCUGAAAGCGUGUGUGAGACGCCUGUGAGAAACACAA